GAAGCUUGAUAAGUGUGUAAAAGACACUCUGUUGGACCCUUGGUAUUCCAACUCCGAAAGCAAACAUUAGAAAGGAAGAUAUUGUGUCAAAGCUGUUGGACUUCAUUGCUGAACCUCACUCUGCAGCUGAAUCUUGGGGCUCUUAUGACCAGGGAUCAAAUUCUAAAAAACGCAAGAGAGGAGGUGAAAGUGCAAGUAAGACGCCUGAUGGCACACCUAGUAGGUCGAGGAAGAAAUUUGUCGAUGACGAUACUUCUAGUAAAAGGCAGAAUAAAGCGCUCCAGUAUGAUAUUGAUG
Zea mays is the source of this 297-nucleotide long non-coding RNA. RefSeq lists it as uncharacterized. The record is from RefSeq and is a predicted model, not a curated record. Lineage: Eukaryota; Viridiplantae; Streptophyta; Magnoliopsida; Poales; Poaceae. The transcript has 4 exons.